This 234-nucleotide unclassified non-coding RNA is filed under the name uncultured Psathyrellaceae. RNAcentral's name for it is "sequence contains ITS1". Lineage: Eukaryota; Fungi; Basidiomycota; Agaricomycetes; Agaricales; Psathyrellaceae. The record is from RNAcentral.
ACGAAUAAACCUGGUGGAUUGCAGCUGACCCCCUCGGGGGUACGUGCUCGUCUGCCAUCUUUAUCUUUCCACCUGUGCACACACUGCAGUCCUGGGAGGAAGGCACGAGAGUGGGGGGCAGUCUUGCCCCUCGCCCGGAUGCUGGAGUUCUGGUCUGCGUUUAUCAACACACCCCAAUGUAACCGUAACAGAAUGAAAUCAAUGGGUCCUUGCACCUAUAACAAAAAGCUUAUA